UUGGGUCACGAAAGGUAAUUCGACGAGUAACAAAUGUGAGUCGAAGAAAUGAAGUCUACAGAGUGACUGUGAGGGAACCACUAGGUGUAAAUGUUACUGUCAAACCACAAGUUUUCUGGGUAAGAGGUAAUGCUUCAAGGCAUUUUAGGAUUUUGUUAAAAGCAAGGAAGGCAAUGAGAACUUACACAUUUGGAGAGAUAAUAUUGUAUGGAAGUAGAAAUCAUGUUGUUAGAGUUCCGAUUGCUGUUUAUGUUAGCACCACUUUAUAGUAUUGAAUUCCUUAUAUUUACAAGCCU
This 296-nucleotide long non-coding RNA is filed under the name Ricinus communis (castor bean). RNAcentral's name for it is "long non-coding RNA (RCOM_LNC001752)". Lineage: Eukaryota; Viridiplantae; Streptophyta; Magnoliopsida; Malpighiales; Euphorbiaceae. The record is from RNAcentral.